This 2681-nucleotide long non-coding RNA is filed under the name Homo sapiens (human). RNAcentral's name for it is "non-protein coding CCDC18-AS1:5". The record is from RNAcentral. Lineage: Eukaryota; Metazoa; Chordata; Mammalia; Primates; Hominidae.
UGGCUGCCGCCCUUCCCCCACCCACGCCGGCGGGAGCCGCCCGUUCGCGCUGCCAGCAGCUUCCGCCUGCUACGGUCCUGGCAAGCACCUCGGGAUCCCAUUCCUUCACAGGGACCCUAGCCAGUUAAAGCUGAUACAUUCCUGUGGGUCAACUAUGCAACUAACUCAGAUUUUGAGCAAACAAAGCUCUCAAGUUGGUGAUCCUCAGGAGUCUCUGCAUUAGUUGGACAGCUCUUCUGGAAUUAUCUUCUAAGUCAACUGUGGGUUGGGUAGGUGGCUCUGCUGAUUUUUCGCUGGACUUCCACAUUUGGGACGAGUUGGCUGUCAUCAGCUCUAGAAAGGGUGUGGCCGUUUUACAUUGGCUGUUUUCCUCACAUUCCUCAAGCAGGUAAGCUUAAUCAUGUUCUCAUAUUGAAGCAGAAACUGUUUACUCAUUUAUCUAUUUACUUACUGGGUCUCCUGGGCACUAGGUACUGUAAUAAAGAACUGGAGAAAUACAGUCAGAUGGGAAGUAGCCCUUGCUGUCAAGGAGCUUGCCAUCUAAUGGGGGAGACAGGCAAGUAAACCAAAGACUACACAGUGCAGUAUGGUAAGUGCCAUGAUUUUGAUGUGACAGGGCACAGUGGACGACCUUCCAAAUCAAAGCAAGUAACUAGGGGUUGACAAUGGUAAGUAUCAUAGUUGAAGUAUCCUUGAACAAGGUUUCAGGAAGAAGAAGAAGGGAAUUUCAUGCAGGGAAACAGCCAAAGCUCAGUGAGUCAAAAUAUCACAGCAUUCUUGGUAAGCCCAAUUGUUUUUUCUGUUUUGCUAUUUUGGUGGAGAGAAAGGAACACAUAAAGGAAUAACAUGAGAGAAGGCUAUUUGGGGAAGUGUAGUAGUUAAGGUUCUGGCUCAAACAACAACUGCAGCUCAUAAAGUUGACUUUAGUGGAAGGAUACUGGGGUAUCUCAUGGAAUCUUGGGAACUGUUGAAUAACCAGGGAAACUCUGGGAAACUCACUGGUAGGAAUCCAUAAACUGUCCUCCUGGUGGGCUGUAAACAACUCACCCUCUAUGCAUCUCACAUCAAAAUUCCAGUUUCUUGGGAAAACAAGUCUGUUUGCCCAAUUUGGGUCAUAUUUCCACGUCCAUGUUACUCAGGCAUGAUUCAUCUGCAAGUUAUGUGUAUAGAUAUUUUGCUACUGUUCCACCCUUACGCUGUGCUGGGGAGGGAGGUGUCACUGUGAGCUGUGUCGGUGCCUUAAGAGAUAUCUGUUGUGUCUUAUUACUUGGUUGCUUUUCCCCACAUGUACAAUGACAAAAAUGCCUUCAACCUAUUUGAUCCAGCCGUUCCAGUACAACUCCUAUACUUGCCAUCUUUCCAAGCCCAAAGGUACAUCCAGCUGAUGGAAGGAGCAUCUUGGUGUUAAUAUUCUUUUAGUCAUGGUCUCUGAAAGUAAAAUGUCUAUUCUUCUAAUUCUGGCACAAUCUUAUCUAGCUAUAGUUCCUCAUGGUCCUGCACUCCAUGGACUAAAUUGUAAGUAUAAUUACUACCAAUGUACUCUAUAAAUAACUUUUGGGGCCAGGGUGGCAAUAGUUGCUAGAGAGAAAAAAAAAAAAAAGGAAGGAGAAGAAAACAGUGAUAGUUCUUAUUUUAAAAGGAAAAAAAGAGGCAGGAGGCUCUCUUGAGGCCAGGAGUUUAAGACCAGCCUAGGCAGCAUUUCAAGACCCUGUCUCUACUAAAAAGUAAAAAAAAAAUUUAGUCAGGCAUGGUGGCAUGCACCUGUAGUCGUAGCUACUCAGGAGACUGAGGUGGGAGGAUUGAUUGAGCUCAGGAGUUUGAGGCUGCAGUGAGCAAUCAUCAUGCCAUUGCACUCCAGCCUGGGCAUCAGAGCAAGACCUUGUCUUUUAGGAAAAAAAGGCAGGGAAGAGGAAUAGGUAAUUUUUCAGUGUUCAGACAUUCCAGCAAUAUGUGUGGAGUACUCAUUCUCACUACAGUUUAUGAGGCCAUAGCUAGUAUGUAUGACUACCCAUCCAAGUUUCCCUGCUUACAGUUACUAUUCCAACUGAUUGGGGGGCUUUUCCUAAUAGAGUGAUUUAAGCCUUCAUUUUUAGACAUCUAAGCCCUUGGUGAUCAUCAGCAUAAAAUGUGACAAAUUAAACAAAAGCAAGACAGCACAUCAGAGAACAACUCUGAGGUGGAAUGAUUGGGAACCAAUGAAUAGUUGUUCAGUAAAUGGUUUAUAUUUUACAGAUGAUGAAACUGAAACACAAAAAAUUUAGAUUAACUCUUAGGUGACAAAGCCAGGAUUGAAGCUCAUGCGGUCUGGCUCCAGAACAACUCUUCUUCAUAGUUACGUUAUACUGCCCCUGCAUUGUUGGUAUUGAAAAUAACUGAUACCGUGCUUCCAGAAGAUUUUUCUAACAGUGUUUGCAAGCUAUAAAAUAGUGCUUUCACUUAGAAAAGGCUAGACGUGGUGGUUCAUGCCUGUAAUCCCAGCACUUUGAGAGGCCGAGGCACCAUGCUGGGAGAUAAGGAUCCAACAUAAGACAAACAGUGCUGAUGCUUUUGGAAAGCUCAUAUUCAAGCUGGGGAGACAAACAACAUACAAGAGGGCUCUGAGAGAUUUCAUUUCUGUCCUGCUGAUGAAGUCUACGUUCAUUCAGGGCCUGCUGUGGAAGACCAGCCCCAAAGGAAUGAGA